UUUGGUAUGCUUGUAGCGCUUCGGCGCACCCAGAACCCUUUGUGAACUUAUACCUAUUGUUGCCUCGGCGCAGGCCGGCCUCUUCACUGAGGCCCCCUGGAGACAGGGAGCAGCCCGCCGGCGGCCAACCAAACUCUUGUUUCUACAGUGAAUCUCUGAGUAAAAAACAUAAAUGAAUCAAAACUUUCAACAACGGAUCUCUUGGUUCUGGCAUCGAUGAAGAACGCAGCGAAAUGCGAUAAGUAAUGUGAAUUGCAGAAUUCAGUGAAUCAUCGAAUCUUUGAACGCACAUUGCGCCCUCUGGUAUUCCGGAGGGCAUGCCUGUUCGAGCGUCAUUUCAACCCUCAAGCCUGGCUUGGUGAUGGGGCACUGCUCUCUGACGGGAGCAGGCCCUGAAAUCUAGUGGCGAGCUCGCUAGGACCCCGAGCGUAGUAGUUAUAUCUCGUUCUGGAAGGCCCUGGCGGUGCCCUGCCGUUAAACCCCCAACUUCUGAAAAUUUGACCUCGGAUCAGGUAGGAAUACCCGCUGAACUUAAGCAUAUCAAAAGGCGGAGGAA
RNAcentral lists this ribosomal RNA (556 nucleotides) under Phomopsis sp. 7GJ-5. RNAcentral describes it as "eukaryotic LSU rRNA". The stretch from base 182 to 335 matches the Rfam family "5.8S ribosomal RNA". The record is from RNAcentral. Lineage: Eukaryota; Fungi; Ascomycota; Sordariomycetes; Diaporthales; Diaporthaceae.